Molecule: ribosomal RNA, 274 nt
Filed under: uncultured bacterium
Lineage: Bacteria
Description: partial 16S ribosomal RNA
Rfam family: Bacterial small subunit ribosomal RNA
Source: RNAcentral
AUACGGAGGGUGCAAGCGUUGUCCGGAUUUAUUGGGUUUAAAGGGUGUGUAGGCGGUGUAUUAAGUCAGUGGUGAAAGCCUGCGGCUCAACCGUAGAACUGCCAUUGAUACUGACACACUUGAGUAUGGACGAGGUAGGCGGAAUUUAUGGUGUAGCGGUGAAAUGCAUAGAUACCAUAAAGAACACCGAUAGCGAAGGCAGCUUACUAGGCCAUAUCUGACGCUGAGGCACGAAAGCGUGGGGAGCGAACAGGAUUAGAAACCCGGGUAGUCC